AGGGGAAUAUUGCACAAUGGGCGCAAGCCUGAUGCAGCCAUGCCGCGUGUGUGAAGAAGGCCUUCGGGUUGUAAAGCACUUUCAGCGGGGAGGAAGGCGGUGAGGUUAAUAACCUCAUCGAUUGACGUUACCCGCAGAAGAAGCACCGGCUAACUCCGUGCCAGCAGCCGCGGUAAUACGGAGGGUGCAAGCGUUAAUCGGAAUUACUGGGCGUAAAGCGCACGCAGGCGGUCUGUCAAGUCGGAUGUGAAGUCCCCGGGCUCAACCUGGGAACUGCAUUCGAAACUGGCAGGCUAGAGUCUUGUAGAGGGGGGUAGAAUUCCAGGUGUAGCGGUGAAAUGCGUAGAGAUCUGGAGGAAUACCGGUGGCGAAGGCGGCCCCCUGGACAAAGACUGACGCUCAGGUGCGAAAGCGUGGGGAGCAAACAG
RNAcentral lists this ribosomal RNA (428 nucleotides) under uncultured bacterium. Its description in RNAcentral is "bacterial SSU rRNA". It matches the Rfam family "Bacterial small subunit ribosomal RNA", at positions 355 to 775 of the family's 1533-position model. The record is from RNAcentral.